Molecule: ribosomal RNA, 1398 nt
Filed under: uncultured bacterium
Lineage: Bacteria
Description: bacterial SSU rRNA
Rfam family: Bacterial small subunit ribosomal RNA
Source: RNAcentral
UUCGAUUAGAGUUUGAUCAUGGCUCAGAUUGAACGCUGGCGGCAGGCCUAGCACAUGCAAGUCGAACGGUAACAGGAAACAGCUUGCUGUUUCGCUGACGAGUGGCGGACGGGUGAGUAAUGUCUGGGAAACUGCCUGAUGGAGGGGGAUAACUACUGGAAACGGUAGCUAAUACCGCAUAACGUCGCAAGACCAAAGAGGGGGACCCUCGGGCCUCUUGCCAUCGGAUGUGCCCAGAUGGGAUUAGCUUGUUGGUGGGGUAACGGCUCACCAAGGCGACGAUCCCUAGCUGGUCUGAGAGGAUGACCAGCCACACUGGAACUGAGACACGGUCCAGACUCCUACGGGAGGCAGCAGUGGGGAAUAUUGCACAAUGGGCGCAAGCCUGAUGCAGCCAUGCCGCGUGUAUGAAGAAGGCCUUCGGGUUGUAAAGUACUUUCAGCGGGGAGGAAGGGAGUAAAGUUAAUACCUUUGCUCAUUGACGUUACCCGCAGAAGAAGCACCGGCUAACUCCGUGCCAGCAGCCGCGGUAAUACGGAGGGUGCAAGCGUUAAUCGGAAUUACUGGGCGUAAAGCGCACGCAGGCGGUUUGUUAAGUCAGAUGUGAAAUCCCCGGGCUCAACCUGGGAACUGCAUCUGAUACUGGCAAGCUUGAGUCUCGUAGAGGGGGGUAGAAUUCCAGGUGUAGCGGUGAAAUGCGUAGAGAUCUGGAGGAAUACCGGUGGCGAAGGCGGCCCCCUGGACGAAGACUGACGCUCAGGUGCGAAAGCGUGGGGAGCAAACAGGAUUAGAUACCCUGGUAGUCCACGCCGUAAACGAUGUCGACUUGGAGGUUGUGCCCUUGAGGCGUGGCUUCCGGAGCUAACGCGUUAAGUCGACCGCCUGGGGAGUACGGCCGCAAGGUUAAAACUCAAAUGAAUUGACGGGGGCCCGCACAAGCGGUGGAGCAUGUGGUUUAAUUCGAUGCAACGCGAAGAACCUUACCUGGUCUUGACAUCCACGGAAGUUUUCAGAGAUGAGAAUGUGCCUUCGGGAACCGUGAGACAGGUGCUGCAUGGCUGUCGUCAGCUCGUGUUGUGAAAUGUUGGGUUAAGUCCCGCAACGAGCGCAACCCUUAUCCUUUGUUGCCAGCGGUCCGGCCGGGAACUCAAAGGAGACUGCCAGUGAUAAACUGGAGGAAGGUGGGGAUGACGUCAAGUCAUCAUGGCCCUUACGACCAGGGCUACACACGUGCUACAAUGGCGCAUACAAAGAGAAGCGACCUCGCGAGAGCAAGCGGACCUCAUAAAGUGCGUCGUAGUCCGGAUUGGAGUCUGCAACUCGACUCCAUGAAGUCGGAAUCGCUAGUAAUCGUGGAUCAGAAUGCCACGGUGAAUACGUUCCCGGGCCUUGUAGACA